AUACGGAGGGUCCAAGCGUUAUCCGGAUUCAUUGGGUUUAAAGGGUCCGCAGGCGGGAAAAUAAGUCAGUGGUGAAAGCCUACAGCUCAACUGUAGAACUGCCAUUGAUACUGUUUUUCUUGAGUAUAGAUGAGGUGGGCGGAAUAUAUCAUGUAGCGGUGAAAUGCAUAGAUAUGAUAUAGAACACCGAUUGCGAAGGCAGCUCACUAAACUAUUACUGACGCUCAGGGACGAAAGCGUGGGGAGCGAACAGGAUUAGAAACCCUAGUAGUCC
Molecule: ribosomal RNA, 274 nt
Filed under: uncultured bacterium
Lineage: Bacteria
Description: partial 16S ribosomal RNA
Rfam family: Bacterial small subunit ribosomal RNA
Source: RNAcentral